GUGGGCAGACCUUAAUGUUAGGGAUAGCCCAGACAUGUACCUGUGGCUUUCACUCCCAGCAGUCUGUGAGAAGCCCUGCAGCUACCUUUGCCUCCACCUCUGCUGCGCCUGCACGGAGCCCUGGGAGGCCUGCAUUGACGCUGGCGAUGUUUGAGAAAGCGCGGUUUGGUGGGACUUUGUCUGCUGCAGCCAAGCCGAAUGUCAAUCUGACCAGGAGGCCUGUUGAGCGUCCCUCCAGCCCUGCCACUGUCCCGUCUGGGAGAAGCACUCCAUCCGCUACCCCACCUCGAGUGACGCCCCCUUCCAGUCCCAGAUUCUACAGGCCUGUCUCCCCUUUCUCUCUGCCUCCAUCCAGCCCCAUCAUGUCGGCGGCGAGGACCAGCUCUUCUCCUCUGGUUGAAUCAGAUACGAGUCCUGCUCCUCCAGGUCUCCUCCCUGCUCCUCCAGGUCUCCUCCCUGCUCCUCCAGGUCUCCUCCCUGCUCCUCCAGGUCCCCUCCCUGCUCCUCCUGGUCCCCUCCCUGCUCCUCCUGGUCCCCUCCCUGCUCCUCCUCUUGCUGCUCAGUUCUGGCUGCCGGUGGAAAUGAGGAAGACCAUUCCCCAGCAGGACCAGCGCUGGAUUGCAUCCACGCUGUGGAGGAACCAGCGGCUGCGACCGGACGUCCAGCUCUGGUAUGAGCCACCUGUUCCUGCCCUCAUCUACAACCAGGUCCCAUCACCAGACCGCUUUUUUAUGCACCGGCUCCUGGUGU
Gadus morhua (Atlantic cod) is the source of this 750-nucleotide long non-coding RNA. The record is from Ensembl. NCBI's taxonomy places the organism in Eukaryota, Metazoa, Chordata, Actinopteri, Gadiformes, Gadidae.